Misgurnus anguillicaudatus (oriental weatherfish) is the source of this 2771-nucleotide non-coding RNA. Lineage: Eukaryota; Metazoa; Chordata; Actinopteri; Cypriniformes; Cobitidae. The record is from RefSeq and is a predicted model, not a curated record.
GAUAAAGCUACGGCCAAAAUCUCGCCGAAUGAGCGCAGUUUUCAUCUUAAUCCUACCCCAAACGUAACCAUAAACCCAACAUUUCACGGCACUUAGGCCGUAUAUUUAUCCUAUCAAGCCAGAACCGCUGUUUUUCGUUCCAUUUCUACCCCGAAACCUAACCAUAAACCCAACAUCUCGCGAGAUUUGUCUGUAGCUGUAUCCAGUCUCUCCCCUCCAGAGUCCAGGCAGUCAGAAGAACCAUCAAUCAUCUGUCGAGCAGGUCUUCAUCAAGAGACAUCACAAAGAAGAGCGUCGAGAUUUUGAAAAAGAAACAUUCAGCACAAUCGGCCAUCGAAAUGCCAAAGCGCAAGUUAAAGCAACAACACAAGAAUCAGGAGUCCAUUCCAGAGUGCUCCAAAGAUGCCACACCCAAUGAUCUGGAGGAAACUGAACCUUCUUUACCAAGCUGCAGCAGCCAGGGUUCUGAUACUAGCAUUGUUUCCAUGAAAAUGAGGAUUGAAUUUCUGGAAGAGAAAAUAAAGUGGCAAGAAAAAAUGAUUGGAGAGCUAGAAAAUGAACGUGAUUUUCUCCGGGAACAGGUUCUUGGAAAAACCAAAGGACAAUAUGUUGGUUAGUAUAUUAAUAUGACAAUGCAGUGUGAAAAAUGUAUUACAUAAAAGCAAUUUAUCCACCAUGGUUUUUAAACUUCUGUAAUUUUUACUGAUUUCAAUUGCUGAUUGCUAUUAGGUUUUGUUAACUUUAAUUAUUUUUAAACACUGGCUUAUUGGGACAACAAUAUUCUGACCAAGCUUUAGCUAAAUGUGUCAAACCCUAUUGUAGGUCAGUGAAUACUAGUGAAUUGUACCUACUGUACCUGUAGAUACCUGUUUGACAUGUUUUGCAAAAGCAUACAGGGAGUAACAUUUAUUAAGAUGUGUAAACUCUUUAAUUCAAAUGUUCCAAAAAGUGUCAUCCAGUCAAUGAUAAGCUACUGAUGAUUAGCAAAUAAUUUAUGUUGAUUGUCUAAAGCAGCAUCAGGAUAGAGGAAAAUGCUGCCUGCCUUUAAAAUCUGUAGGCCUGUGUUAAUGCCAGCUUCUAAUAAUUUAAAAAUGCUAUGCUACACUUUUAUUUUUAGCACCUUUGAAUGUGAAACAAGAAGUCCACCAUGACUACAAUGAAGACACUACUUCCUCAUCCCCAAGUCUUAGUGAAUCAGACGAGCCCAAAAUAAUAGAGGACAAACAGAAGAAAAGGAAGAAGGCAGCACACCAUUCUCUUCGACAUCACAUAAGAGUUAAAGGUCCAGAGGAGGUGAUCAGACGCUACCAGCAAGUCCUCAAAACAUUUAAGAAAGUUCGCACAAUGUCUGAAGCAUUCCAUCGACACAAUGUUGACAGGGGCACCAUUGUGGGAACUGCACCAAUAGCGGAGCUUCAGGUUGCAGACCCCAAGAUCUAUAGCACCUUGGUGUUUAAUCCAGCUAUGGAAACAUUACUAGCUUUUGCGAAAAGAUGUCCUGGUACUGUAAGUCCAGAAAUUAAAAGAUCUAUUGAAGAUCUCAAGGCUCGAGGGCAUCUAUUGCCCAUUUUGAUCAAGUACUGAAGUGGUGUUGCUUGAUUUUUUCUAGAAAGACUGUUAAGUAAAAGUUGAGUUUAAAGGGAUAGUUCAUCCAAAAAUGAAAAUUCAGUCAUCAUUUACUCACUCUCAUGUUGUGAACACGGAGGAAGAUAUUUUGAGGAAUGUUUGUAACCUAACCAAUCAUGAGCCCUAUCACUUGCAUAGUUUUCUUUUUUCCUUCUUAUUCCUACACUAUGGUGUGAAUGGUGCUCAUGAUCAGUUUGGUUACAAACAUUCCUCAAAAUAUGUUCUCGUGUUUAUCAGAACAAAGAAAAUGAUACAGGUUUGUAACAACAUGAGAGUGAGAAAAUAAUGACUGAAUUUUCAUUUUUUGCGAACUAUCCCAAAAUUGUUAUUGUUGUAGAAAUUAUAUUACUGGAUGUUUAAACUUGUUCUUGUUUUUAUAUCGUAAAUGUUGAUAAAGAGGUGGUUACUGACUUUGUGAGCAGUGCUUAUAUAAAAGGAGCUGAAGGAGUCCUUUAAUAUGUAAGAUUGUUAUAGUGAAAACUUAAUGUUAAUUGUUUUUUCGGUGCUUAUAUAAAAGGACCUGAAGGAGACCUUUAAUAUGUAAGAUUGUUAUAGUGAUAACUUAAUAUGUCAAUUGUUUGGCAAUUGAUUGUAAUAUUUUGGGAUGUCUCUCACCUGCAGUUGGUUCUUUUGUUGAAACUUGAAACAAUAAAGAACAAGUUAUUUACUGCAAUAUUUAUUGUCUCUUCUGUUAUUGGAAAACAAUAAAUGUUUACUUUAGAAUAGGGAACAUACUCUUAAGUAAUACUGCCUUAAUAUGCAUAUAUUAGUGAGAAAUAUACUUAUUACCCAUUAAUAUACUCAGGGAAUAGUUGAGUUAUAAAUAGUUUGUUAGUGUAGUACAACUUCUAAAAAACUGCUUCUGUGUAACAUGAAAGUACUUUUUCUGCUCAUUUAAAUGUUUGUUUUGAAAUGCCCAUUCUAUAUUUAUUUCACACUUAUAAGCUACAAACUCAAACAGUGUACUAAGAACCUAUAAAGUGUGUAUUUUUCACAAUACAAGCUAUUAGUAUCUUUUGUUUUUAGUUAAUAAGUUCAUUGUUAGGACAAAAUCAAGUGUUAAGGGGCUAUAAGACAAAAACAAGACAACAACCAAUAAAUGGCUUAUAAAUAGAUUGUAACUGCUUACAGGUCACUAACUAGUC